AGUGAACGCUGGCGGUAGGCCUAACACAUGCAAGUCGAACGGCAGCACAGGAGAGCUUGCUCUCUGGGUGGCGAGUGGCGGACGGGUGAGGAAUACAUCGGAAUCUACUCUGUCGUGGGGGAUAACGUAGGGAAACUUACGCUAAUACCGCAUACGACCUACGGGUGAAAGCAGGGGAUCUUCGGACCUUGCGCGAUUGAAUGAGCCGAUGUCGGAUUAGCUAGUUGGCGGGGUAAAGGCCCACCAAGGCGACGAUCCGUAGCUGGUCUGAGAGGAUGAUCAGCCACACUGGAACUGAGACACGGUCCAGACUCCUACGGGAGGCAGCAGUGGGGAAUAUUGGACAAUGGGCGCAAGCCUGAUCCAGCCAUACCGCGUGGGUGAAGAAGGCCUUCGGGUUGUAAAGCACUUUAGUUGGGGAAGAAAAGUAAUAAGUAAAUAAUUUAUUGCUCUGACGGUACCCAAAGAAUAAGCACCGGCUAACUCUGUGCCAGCCGCCGCCGUAA
This 506-nucleotide ribosomal RNA is filed under the name uncultured bacterium. RNAcentral describes it as "partial 16S ribosomal RNA". It matches the Rfam family "Bacterial small subunit ribosomal RNA", at positions 29 to 523 of the family's 1533-position model. The record is from RNAcentral.